CACAUUAAUGCUAGCUGUUAAUUUUAGCGGUGGGGCAAAGGGCUGGCUAUGAGAUGGCCAGCUGAGGUAAAAUCCCAGAGUAAGAACAAGGUGCUGAUGGCCUGGCAGUGAAGUCAUGGUGAAGUCUUGGUGGAUGUCUUGGCACUGCUAACACACAAGGCAAAGAUUCUUGCCCUCUGCACUGGAAGCUGCUCAUCGCAUGUCAAAACUGCACCACUCGUGUGUUACCAAGUGAACAGCAACAAGCAGAUGUGCCAGUGUUGUGCCCUGGCUUUUCCAGAUCACACUUCUCAUGGCUGCCCUGGACCACAGGCCCAACAUGGCACCCUGGCCCUGUGCAUGGCCUGGGAGGGCUGACUCUGACUGCUGUGAGCCCCAUCCACACCAGACUGCCUUUUCUAGGAAAGCUCUGUUGAGAAGAAAGCAGCAAAUACUGGGUGGUGAUUUG
RNAcentral lists this long non-coding RNA (448 nucleotides) under Gallus gallus (chicken). RNAcentral's name for it is "long non-coding RNA NONGGAT008443". The record is from RNAcentral. Lineage: Eukaryota; Metazoa; Chordata; Aves; Galliformes; Phasianidae.